GAUGAACGCUGGCGGCGUGCCUAAUACAUGCAAGUCGAGCGAACAGACGAGGAGCUUGCCCCUCUGACGUUAGCGGCGGACGGGUGAGUAACACGUGGAUAACCUACCUAUAAGACUGGGAUAACUUCGGGAAACCGGAGCUAAUACCGGAUAAUAUAUUGAACCGCAUGGUUCAAUAGUGAAAGACGGUUUUGCUGUCACUUAUAGAUGGAUCCGCGCCGCAUUAGCUAGUUGGUAAGGUAACGGCUUACCAAGGCAACGAUGCGUAGCCGACCUGAGAGGGUGAUCGGCCACCCUGGAACGGAGACACGGUCCAGACGCCUACGGGAGGCAGCAGUAGGGAAUCUUCCGCAAUGGGCGAAAGCCUGACGGAGCAACGCCGCGUGAGUGAUGAAGGUCUUCGGAUCGUAAAACUCUGUUAUUAGGGAAGAACAAAUGUGUAAGUAAAUAUGCACGUCUUGACGGUACCUAAUCAGAAAGCCACGGCUAACUACGUG
This 497-nucleotide ribosomal RNA is filed under the name uncultured bacterium. Its description in RNAcentral is "partial 16S ribosomal RNA". It matches the Rfam family "Bacterial small subunit ribosomal RNA", at positions 28 to 507 of the family's 1533-position model. The record is from RNAcentral.